AGAUAAGAGAAUAAUUAACAGUGAAGAGACGCCUUUGCUUGAAGACAACUUGAGUAAGAACUUCAAGGGCUUGGGGUACGGAUUUGAGAGAACAAAAGGGUAUAAUAUAAUCUUCCUGGAAUAAGAAUAUGGAUUAAACAAAGUUUAUACUCAAUAAAUACUUGAGAAGGGAAGAAAGGGACUAAGGGAGGAGAGAAGAGAAAGAGGAGGAAAAAGAAGAAAAUAGAUUUAAAGGAAAGAAAGGAAGAGAUAGAAAAAAAUUUCCCACAAACACAGAGGCUCCAGCUCUGAGUUGAGGCACCAGUUGAGAACAGUAGGAAAAAGCAAGU
This 329-nucleotide long non-coding RNA is filed under the name Pan troglodytes (chimpanzee). Its description in RNAcentral is "lincRNA". The record is from RNAcentral. Lineage: Eukaryota; Metazoa; Chordata; Mammalia; Primates; Hominidae.